Molecule: ribosomal RNA, 253 nt
Filed under: uncultured bacterium
Lineage: Bacteria
Description: partial 16S ribosomal RNA
Rfam family: Bacterial small subunit ribosomal RNA
Source: RNAcentral
UACGGAGGGGGCUAGCGUUGUUCGGAAUUACUGGGCGUAAAGCGCACGUAGGCGGACCAUCAAGUUGGGGGUGAAAUCCCGGGGCUCAACCCCGGAACUGCCUCCAAAACUGCUGGUCUGGAGGUCGAGAGAGGUGAGUGGAAUUCCGAGUGUAGAGGUGAAAUUCGUAGAUAUUGGGAAGAACACCGGUGGCGAAGGCGGCUCUCUGGACCGAGACUGACGCUGAGGCGCGAAAGCGUGGGGAGCAAACAGG